AAUGGUAUUCAUAUUCUCCAUUUCUUUCAGACUUGGAGAUGAGCUCUGUGAUGCCUCCACAAAAGAGGGUCCUGAGGAGUCAGCUUCCCCAGUUGGGGGCGCUGUAAGGGCUAGCUUGGAGAUGCCAAACUGGGGAGACCCAGGCUCCAUGGUGUUGCCAUCCACCAGAGAACCUAGGAAAGCAGCAGAGGCAUUUGAUGUGUUUACUUGCCACUCCCAAGGGAGAUGCCUCUGGGUAGGGAGGUCUCGGGUGUCAUGAACCUAGGCGAAGCCUGAGGCAGGCAGUGGCCCUCCUUAGGAAGCACAUAGCACCUGGUGUAGAGAGAACCCAGAAUGGCAGGAGGCCAGGAAAGAGCUUGAGACACCAGAGAACCUUCAUGGAGAAGCCAUUCAACUGCCAGGAAUGUGGGGAAGUCUUCAUUUAUCCUUCAAACUUUGCUUUCCAUUAGCGAGUCCACACUGGAGAGAAGCCCCACAGAUGUGACCAGUGCAGGAAGUUCUACCCACAGGUCUCCUACCUUGCCCACCACCAGAAAACCCACACAAGGGAGAAGCCCUACAGAUGCAGUGAGUGUAGCAAGGCCUUCUGCCCCUCCUCCUCCCUGGCCCAGCACAAGCCGUCCAUACCGGGGAGAAGCCCUACAGAUGUAACAAGUUUGGGAAGACCUUUAACCAGAACUCUUCUCUCACCCACCACCAGAAAGAAGCCUCAGAAAUGUAAGGAGUGUGGGAAAAGCUUCAGUUACAGCUCAUCCCUCAUCCAACAUCGGAGAAUCCACACAGGCAAGAAGCCCUAUACCUGUAAGGAAUGUGGGAAGGCCUUCAGUCAGAGCAGCCACCUGACUCAGCCCCAAAGGACCCCCACUGGGGAGAAGCCCUAUGAGUGUAAAGUGUAUGGGAAGGAAUAUGCCCAGAUCUCUCUCACCUCACUGAACACCAGAUGACCCACACCAGGGAGAAGUGCUACAAGUGCGGACUGUGUGGGAGAGCUUUAAGCCACAGCACUCAUGUCACCCAGCACCAGAAGACCCACACGGGCAGGAAGCCUCAUAAGUGUAAGGAGUGUAGGAAAAGCUUCAGUCACAACACAUCCCUCAUCCAACAUGAGAGAAUCCACACUGGCAAGAAGCCCUGUGCCUGUAAGGAAUGAGGAAGGCCUUCCGUCAGAGCAGCCACCUGACUCAGCACCCACAGCGGGGAGAAGCGCUUCAAAUGUGAGGACUGUGGGAAGGCCUACACCCAGAUCUCAAACCUUCUCCGACAUCAGAAUCACACUGGCAACAAAUGCUCAUCUUCAAGGCCAGUUCCAGAGAGGAACACUAACCCCAUAUAUUGACAUCAUUCUUAGAAGGAGGAUGUCACGUGUUAUCACUAGCCAAGAGAGCUUCUCAUUGUUUGGGGGGUCUCCCAGGAACAGGUCUCUCUGAGCUUUUUAAAUUGAUUUUUCUUCCCUUAAAUUGGAUCCCAAAAAGUCAAGAAAAAGAGAAGAAAGUUAUGAAAAUUGACGCUUGAGAGUAAAAGUCUCAAAUAUACGUAGCUAAACAAAUGCUAGGCAAUUUUUUAAAACUUUAAACAACAAAUUUCACAGUGUAAAGUUGGUUUAAAUAGUGAAUAUCUUUCACACACUCACAGCUACUUUUAGUGUCCUAUUAUUUGUGCCUAUUAUAUUUCUGGGAUUUAUGCUUUAAAAAGCUGUUAUCCCACUAAACAUCAUGUUUAUUCAGGUCUAAAGGAGACUUUUUACAUAUUUUAAACAUAUAAUUAUUUUAUAUUAAAAAUAAUGCUUAUACUUUUAUAAUAGGAACAAUUUUGGUAGGAAAUAAUACACUUUCAUUAUAAAGGAUAUUUGUGAAGUACGGAGAAGUAUGAAAUAAAACACCAAUUCCCUGUAAAACCAUAGCUCAGAGAGAUUCAGUAGUCAUUCUUGGGUUUUUCUUUCUGGAUUAUUUUUGGUCUGUAUUCUAUAUGCAUAUGUUUAAACUGUCAGAAAUUUUGAAUUUCACAAUUCAGCUGCCCUCAGAAGCCAUAUUUUUUCAUACUUUCUUCCAAAUCUUUUAAACAAAUGUAAUUUUAUUUCAUUGGAGUCCCAGUGUAGAGUCAAUCUGCCCUCAUCAUACCAUGAGCAGUUUCCUGUCGCCUAUGCAUCACACUCAUUGUUAAUGCUAAUGGUUGGUCACUGAGAACAGUUCACAGAUCCAUUCCCAAUUAGCUCUUUCUCCUAAGUUCCUGACCGACACAGGUUCACCAGCUUUUCCAAUUGUGAAUAAUGUUGCAAUGAGCGGUUCCAAGCUCACCUCCUCCAGCUUCUUUGGGGGAGAAUUUCUUGUAGGCAGAUUCCCAGGGUGGCAAUGAUGGGCACCAAGGCUCCAAGCAUUUUGAUUCCUCAAAUGUGCUGCCAAACUGCCUUCCAAAGGGGCAGUUGGAGUCAAUGCAGUUCACACAAGCUGGAUGUGAGGACCACAACUGCAUUUCUAUGGCAACAAAUGUCAAUCAAUGUGUC
This 2500-nucleotide long non-coding RNA is filed under the name Marmota monax (woodchuck). The record is from RNAcentral. Lineage: Eukaryota; Metazoa; Chordata; Mammalia; Rodentia; Sciuridae.